UACGGAGGGUGCGAGCGUUGUCCGGAAUCACUGGGCGUAAAGGGCGCGUAGGCGGCUGGGGAAGUCCGUGGUGAAAGCUCGUGGCUCAACUGCGAGUCGGCCAUGGAUACUCCUCGGCUCGAGCACUGUAGAGGCAGGUGGAAUUCCGGGUGUAGCGGUGGAAUGCGUAGAGAUCCGGAAGAACACCGGUGGUGAAGGCGGCCUGCUGGGCAGUAGCUGACGCUGAGGCGCGACAGCGUGGGGAGCAAACAGG
This 253-nucleotide ribosomal RNA is filed under the name uncultured bacterium. RNAcentral describes it as "partial 16S ribosomal RNA". It matches the Rfam family "Bacterial small subunit ribosomal RNA", at positions 524 to 776 of the family's 1533-position model. The record is from RNAcentral.